GAAGCCCAGUGGUGGAGUCUAAUUGGGCUGGGAUGGAAGACGAAUUUGACAUUAGAAAGGAUGUCAGAAGACAGCUGGGAAACUGACUUCACUAGAGGAACUGGAUUCCCACCCUUCUGUAGCGGAAGAUUCCCUGCUCCCGCCAGCCAGUGCACGGCAGUUUGUUGGUUGCCCAGAUAAUGGUUCCAGUUCCUGUCACUUUCGUUUCUUAGAAAUGACUGGUCACUGUGAUGCAUGCUGUAAGAACCAAUCCACAGUUAACAAGCCACUCUGCCUGUGUUCUUUCUGCUUGCUUAUCCCAU
This 302-nucleotide long non-coding RNA is filed under the name Cavia porcellus (domestic guinea pig). RNAcentral's name for it is "lncRNA (ENSCPOG00000032253.1)". Lineage: Eukaryota; Metazoa; Chordata; Mammalia; Rodentia; Caviidae. The record is from RNAcentral.